AUACGUAGGUGACAAGCGUUAUCCGGAUUUACUGGGUGUAAAGGGCGUGUAGGCGGAGAUGCAAGUCAGGAGUGAAAUCUAGGGGCUCAACCCCUAAACUGCUUUUGAAACUGUAUCCCUUGAGUAUCGGAGAGGCAGGCGGAAUUCCUAGUGUAGCGGUGAAAUGCGUAGAUAUUAGGAGGAACACCAGUGGCGAAGGCGGCCUGCUGGACGACAACUGACGCUGAGGCGCGAAAGCGUGGGGAGCAAACAGGAUUAGAUACCCUGGUAGUCCACGCUGUAAACGAUGAAUACUAGGUGUGGGGGGACUGACCCCCUCCGUGCCGCAGUUAACACAAUAAGUAUUCCACCUGGGGAGUACGAUCGCAAGAUUGAAACUCAAAUGAAUUGACGGGG
Molecule: ribosomal RNA, 396 nt
Filed under: uncultured bacterium
Lineage: Bacteria
Description: partial 16S ribosomal RNA
Rfam family: Bacterial small subunit ribosomal RNA
Source: RNAcentral